GACGAACGCUGGCGGCGUGCUUAACACAUGCAAGUCGAGCGGUAAGGCCCUUUCGGGGGUACACGAGCGGCGAACGGGUGAGUAACACGUGGGUGACCUGCCCUCAGCUCUGGGAUAAGCCUGGGAAACCGGGUCUAAUACUGGAUAUGACUCCAUGACGCAUGUUGUGGGGUGGAAAGCCUUGUGCGGCUGAGGAUGGGCCCGCGGCCUAUCAGCUUGUUGGUGGGGUGANGGCCUACCAAGGCGACGACGGGUAGCCGGCCUGAGAGGGCGACCGGCCACACGUGG
This 288-nucleotide ribosomal RNA is filed under the name uncultured bacterium. RNAcentral's name for it is "partial 16S ribosomal RNA". It matches the Rfam family "Bacterial small subunit ribosomal RNA", at positions 28 to 317 of the family's 1533-position model. The record is from RNAcentral.